GGUUCAGCCUAGUUGUCUCCUACAAGUGGAAAGCUAACUGGACAUCUGAAUGCAGAGUGCCAAUUUCCUUCUGCAGCCAAGCGUGCUUCAUUUCAAGCUUUCUAUUUAUGGACCAUAUACUUACCUCAGCUGAAAUCUGAAACAGUUUUUUGUGUGGGAGAUGACACUUUUAAUCGCUGCAAACAGAUUUAUAUAGUUCAACUGAGCAUGCUUUGAAACUGUUGGCAAGAAAUGCCUCAGGCUAACAAGGACACAACACUUCUCUUUAAGGAAGAAAAACUGAAAGGAGCUGAAUUGGAGUCCCAAGUCCAACAAUUCAUCAUAAGCUACACGCCUUUUUCAUUUUUGCUAUGGAAAAUCAAAGCCCAGCUAGAAAAAGAAAUGACUGUAUAUCUAAAGCCGCUGGAUUUGGAGGGAAAUGAAGAAUACUUAUUGGAUUUUCUGUCUCAGGUAUCAUAAUAGCCUGGUUGCUUUGUGAACUAUGCAAUUGUUUCAAGUGAGGGCAUUUGUUACUACACUUCAAGGACUGCUAUGAGUAAACAGCUGCAAUUGCAUUGCUACAAAAAAUUGCACCAAAUGGUAGAAAUGCAAUUUCUAUGCUGCUUAAAGAGCCUGCCUUAUCUUUAUUUAUUUAUUUUAUUUAUUUGUCACAACAGUAUAUAUAAGCAUAAGCAUGAAAUAACUAUACAAUAUAUAAGCAUAUAUAUAAGCAUAAGCAUGAAAUAACUAUACAAAUUGGAUACAAUCAAAGGGAACAUUAGGACAGGAAUGGUAGGCAUGCUGGUGCUCUUAUGUGUGUCCCUUACAGACCUCUUAGGAAUGGGGUGAGGUCAAUAGUAGAUAGUCUUUGGUUAAAGCUUUGGGGAUUAAGCUUAAAUCUAUUGUGUGCUCGUGUAUUGUUGCGAUUGAAGCUGAAGUAGUCUUCAACAGGAAGGACAUUGUAACAGAUGAUUCUAUGAGUUACACUCAGAUCAUGUCGAAGGCGGCGUAGUUCUAAAUUUUCUAAACCCAGGAUUUCAAGUCUGGUGGCAUAAGGUAUUUUGUUGUAAUCAGAGGAAUGGAGAACUCUUCUUGUAAAAUAUUUCUGGACACGCUCAAUUGUAUUUAUGUCAGAAAUGAGGUGUGGGUUCCAGACAGGCGAGCUGUAUUCAAGAAUUGGUCUAGCAAAUGUUUUAUAUGCUCUGGUUAGAUGUUUCUGGAGAAGAAGCUACGCAAGAUUAAGUUUACAACUCUUAAAGCCUUUUUUGCGAUGUAGUUGCAGUGGGCUUUGGCACUUAGAUCAUUUGAUAUGAAAACUCCAAGGUCUUUAACAGGAGAAUGGGGUUCAUCUACAAGGUAAUGUCCAUCGAGUUUGUAUUUAGUGUUCUGAUUCUUUUUUCCAAUGUGUAAGACAGAGCAUUUGCUGGUUGAGAUUUGGAGUUGCCAGAUUUUUGACCAUUCCGACACAAAGUCAAGGUCUUUUUGAAGGGUAGCCAUAUUGUUGGUAGUGUUAAAUAGUUUAACAUCAUCAGUGAAGAGAACAAAAUUACUUAUAAUAUGGUCACAGAGGUCAUUAAUGUAUAAUAUGAAGAGUGUUGGUCCUAGAAUGCUGCCAUCUUGAUGGCAAAGGCAAUUAUCCUCCAGAGCUGAAGAUAGAGAAUAGAUGUGGUUCCAAUCUCCCUAGUUUGUGUGUGUGUGUUUGUGAUUAGUAUAAAAUGGUUAAGGGUUACAUAAUAUUGUGUCACCUCAAGACUUAUAAUUGUGAAUGCUUGCAUUCUAAAGUGCUGUGAAAUAUUCUUUAAAUUCACAGCAUUCUGAAACACCUGGCUUUUGGGAAGAGAAUAUCUAUUAAACCACUUCCAUGACACUUGGAAUGUCUGCUUCCACUCUUGUCAUAAUUUCAUCAUACUGAAAUUCCAAAAUUAAUAAUAAGAUGUCUGUUAUAAUUAAUGGCAAUCUGCUUCCUCAUCUAGUAACUCUGCCCCAUCUCUUUGCAAUUAAUUUGUGCAGUUGGUUAAUUAGCACUCUGGACAUAUCUAGUUCCUCUAUUCCAAUCACUCUGAUAGACAUAUUUACAUCCAAGCCUAGAUUGCUUUAUCUGUAGUAUAUGCUGAGGAUAGCAGCAAAAGCAGAUGUAAUCAGUUGUUGACCUGCAGGUGAAAAAAUAUGGAACAAACUCUCCUCUACUAGCCUCUUGUUAGGACAGACUCUUCCAAGUGGAGUAAAGCAUAAUAUGUGGUGGUUUUAUCUCGUUUCCAGUUUUCUCAUUACGGUACCCCAUUAGUGUUAUUUUCAUACCCUUAGUAUUCUAACAGCAGCAUAAAAUUAAGAAUUAGAAUUUCAAGAGUACCAUUAUUGGAAGAGAAAAAACACAUAAAGAAUCUUAUAUAAAUUAACCAUUUCACUGGGAUUUUUAUUACUUAAUAUCUAAGGAUGCCUACCUGUUGACAUCUCCAAGUAGCUUAUACAAGAAUAAAAUAGUAAAAUGUCAAAUAUUAAACAGUAACUUUGCUGGAAAGAAAUAUAGGAGACAUACUUCAGCAUCUUAUUGUAUCACACACAACUCAGCCUGUGAGACAGAAGGUUUUACCGUAUUUUUCAGUGUAUAAGAUGCACUCUCCCCAAAAAAAGUGGGUGGAAAUGUCUGUGCAUCUUAUACAGCUAAUGUUGCCGAAGCCCCGCCUACCCAUCAGCCC
Molecule: long non-coding RNA, 2675 nt
Organism: Ahaetulla prasina
Lineage: Eukaryota; Metazoa; Chordata; Lepidosauria; Squamata; Colubridae
Exons: 5
Source: RefSeq, a predicted model, not a curated record